RNAcentral lists this long non-coding RNA (729 nucleotides) under Olea europaea subsp. europaea. Lineage: Eukaryota; Viridiplantae; Streptophyta; Magnoliopsida; Lamiales; Oleaceae. The record is from RNAcentral.
AAAAAAUUAACUUGUGCAAAAAUGUUUAGAAAAAAAGAUUAAAACUUAUCCAAGCAUGCUUCUAGAGAAUUAUGAAUGUGAUUUGUUCUUGCUUUCCUGUUUCAAGCUUCUGGUAUCAAAGAGGCACAGUAACAGCGGGGAAUAAGAACUAGAGUGUGAAGAUUAUUUAAGAAAAUAGAACAUUAUCUAAAUUUUUUUCGAUUCAUGACCAAUGUCACUAUAGUAACUUGAUGAUCUCUUUCGAUAUUGUGUAGUUAACAAAGCAAACAACCGUACAAGCUACAGGGGUGGCUUCAAGUUUGGUUGAGAUAAUACAAGGGUCGGGCUUCAAGUUACAAACAUUGAAUUUGAGCUUCCAAGACGAAGAAGAUUUCAGUUAGAUAUUUGACUGCUCCGCAAUUUGUGGUGUACAAUGUGUCUAUUUAACUUUUUACUCAAAUUUUGAAUUAAAAAAAAAGGUAGACGGAGCGAUUAUGGAGACCAUCUUUCCAUAAUUAGUGUGUAUAUGUAAUUUCGUUUUCAAUUUAUGGUGUAAUUAUACUUACAAACUCGAGCCAUGGCUGUAAUCUCUAGCAUCCAGCCGUGAUUUAUAUUCUAUUUUUUAUUUAGUGAUACAAAUUUUCACGAUGAGGUCAUUCAGUAGAAUUUUCACAUUGUAUCAGAGUUUAACUCCGGAAUUCAUCAUUGAGUCUUCCGUUAUUUCAAUUUGUCUCAGGUUUCUGCAUUGUU